Molecule: unclassified non-coding RNA, 297 nt
Filed under: Hevea brasiliensis (rubber tree)
Lineage: Eukaryota; Viridiplantae; Streptophyta; Magnoliopsida; Malpighiales; Euphorbiaceae
Source: RNAcentral
AUAUAUAUAUAUAUAUAUGCUGUAUCAUCAAAAUGCCAUAAAACCAAAAGUUCAUAUCUUUUCAUUACUAAACAUGGAAGAAUUACUUUGAAAAAAGGAUGAAAUUAUAUCGGCCUUUGACCUGUAAACAUCUGAUAUCAACACCAAACCUCAGCAGAUGAAAUGAAAAUGCUCCCCAACCGAAGGCCUAUGGCAUAAUAAUAAUGCCAAAUCUCGAAGCUCAAUGGUAUUCCUUUCCAAAUACCCAAUUCAGGGUAUUGGCAAAAAGAGCCGUUUCCGAGACUCCAGCCUUGAUUA